This is a long non-coding RNA of Lolium perenne, 2684 nucleotides long. RefSeq lists it as uncharacterized. NCBI's taxonomy places the organism in Eukaryota, Viridiplantae, Streptophyta, Magnoliopsida, Poales, Poaceae. The record is from RefSeq and is a predicted model, not a curated record.
UACCAAUUCACCACAUGUCUGCCGUUUUCCAAGAUGGAGCAGAGGACAUCGGGACAUCCUAGGCGUCCUGCCUGCCGAUGGGGGCAAGCUCGGCCCUCGGGGCGGGGCAGGAACAGCCAGGGGACGGCGACCUUGAGGGCGGGGCACGCGUAUGUCGGCGAAGGCGAGCACGGGGCAGGUCUAGGCCGGCGGCGGCGAGCACGGGGCGGGGAAGCCGCGUGCCAGGGAUGGCGCCCCUGGGCGGAGCAGGCGUGGCCCUAGGACGACGACCUUGGGCCGACGACGGCACGGGCCCAAGGGCGGAGCACGCUCAAGCUGGCGGUGGCCACGUCGGGCGGACCAGGCAGGGGCGGCGGCGGCCAUGUUGGGGCUAAGCAGGCAGUGGCCGGCGGCGGAGAAAAACGGUGGUGCCAGAUGAAGAAGACAACAAAUUAAAGCUCUUCCUCACAUACACAUGUCGAAUGUUGGGAUUGGGAAGCAGAAAAUUCUGGUGUGCCUGAACCUGUCUCAACAAGAUUGAGGUAACUGAUUGAGAUGAACAGAAAACCUAACACAGUGUAUGACAUGAAUUUAGAGGUUUACCGGGGGUGAUGCUGGUCUUGAGGCUUUAAAUGACAUUUUGCCUUCUUUCUCAUAUAGGCCUGAAAUUGGCUGAGUGAGGGAGGGCCUGCGAGGAUGUUUGUGAGGGUGAGGCUGACGGAUGGGUCGUGGUACCAGUAGCCGUUCCGGCUCCCUGGACGCUGCUGGUUGGUACUGUCUACUCCGAUGAGGAGAAACUCCGGCUGGUGGCACACAAUUUUUUCCUUAUGCACUAGAGAGAUUCUUAUAUCUAAAAUAUUCUCUGUCAGUACUGGUGGAAAACUUGAGGCGCUACUGAGCUUCGGUUAGUUCAAGCUGCAAUUGGGCAAUUAUACAAGUUCACCCUUAUAUAACUCCUUUUGGAUCCGUAUAACCAGAUCAAGUUAAUAUGCUGCUCCUUGCUUCUACUUCUGAAUUUCUUCAUCACCGUUGUAUUUUGUUUUCAUUUUGACCUAUAAAAAAUGAUAUCUUACUAUUUUUGUUGUUGCAAAGUUAGCUGAACCAUAGAUACAGCCAUUCCCAUAUGGUGCUGAUAGUAUUGUGCUGCAAGUUUGCAUGUUCAUGAAAGAGGAAUUUAGAGCAUCCUAGGAAGGGUUCUUAUAUCUAAAAUAUUAUCUGUCAGUACUGGUGGAAAACUUGAGGUAUGUAGAGGUUUAAUCUUUUGGAAUGUAAUUCUCAUGAUUGUUUCCUGCAGAGUUUUUCUCUUUGAUAUAAUAAAUGCAUUACCAUUUAGUUUUGUAGUUUUAAGAGUAAUGUUUAAAGUCUAAUUGUAUUCCUCUUUCAUGAACAAUUCACAAUUACAUCUUCAGGCGCUACUGAGCUUCGGUUAGUUAAGCUGCAAUUGGGCAAUUAUACAAGUUCACCCUUAUAUAACUCCUUUUGGAUCCGUAUAACCAGAUCAAGUUAAUAUGCUGCUCCUUGCUUCUACUUCUGAAUUUCUUCAUAUCCGUUGUAUUUUGUUUUCAUUUUGACAUAUAAAAAAUGAUAUCUUACUAUUUUUGUUGUUGCAAAGUUAGCUGAACCAUAGAUACAGCCAUUCCCAUAUGGUGCUGAUAGUAUUGUGCUGCAAGUUUGCAUGUUUGUAACUUUACACACAGGGUUCUGAUAUCCAUAAUAUCAAUGAGAAUAAGUAUCUAGAUUCUCUGGCAAGACUAUGGUGCACAGCUUUAGAUAUUUACAGAUGUAUUCUUGGGGAUGCGAUUCUCAUGAUUAUUUACUAGAGUUCUCCUUUUGUUAUAAUACAUGCAUCACCAUUUAUUUAUUUUGGUUUAGGAGAAGUUAUUGAAGUCUAAAUACGUUCCUGUUUCAAUGAACAAUUCUUAAUGUCAUCUUCAGGUGGUACCCAGCUUCGAUUAGUUCAAGGUGCAACCGAGUAAUUAACAAAUUUUACACUUUCAGCCAGAAAAAUUUAGUAUAUAUACUUCUCCUUUUGAAUUACUUCAUCACCAUUGUAUUUGUUUUCAUUAUGAUAUAUAAAAAGUAUAUCUUAUUAGUUAUUUUGUUGUAAAAUUAGCUGAACCAUGCAUAGAGACAGCAUUUCCCGUGUGGUACUGAUACUGAUAUGAUUGUGCUGCAAGCUUGCUGCAGCCUUUCCCGUGUGGUGCUGAUAGAGUCUCCAAUGAUGCAUCAUACAUUCUCUUGAUUUGCAAAAUAACACGAGCUUUUCGUCUCCUUAACCAUCCUGCAGCUAGAAGUUUUCUAAUGCCAUUAUUUUGGAUGGACAUGAUGUACAGAAGGAACUCAUUUGUUAGCGCAUAUUUUCUUGAUCCUAACAGCAAUUAUAAUUACUUUCUGUGUCAAAUCACCACCUACAGUUCACUGAACAAUACAGAUUAGUAAUUUAGCACUUACUAAUGUUUUCAGAGCUGUGGCGAAAAUCAUGUUGCCGGAGAAUCAUAGAGAUCCUGGAUGCUGAGGUAGAGAAGAUGUUCUGCCUGGUUACUGGUUAGGAAUUGCCAACUUCAUUAUCACGUUGUCAUGAUGCUCCAUUGCACCUCUUCAUAUAUCCUGUAGUUUGCUAAAGCAUGAGCUUUUGUGCUGAAAAUUUUGAAAUUUGUAAUGGAUGUGGCUGGGCAGGCUUGCUCCUUUGUGGGAACUUACGUUAU